RNAcentral lists this unclassified non-coding RNA (21 nucleotides) under Mus musculus (house mouse). RNAcentral describes it as "oocyte_clustered_small_RNA12421". Lineage: Eukaryota; Metazoa; Chordata; Mammalia; Rodentia; Muridae. The record is from RNAcentral.
CAUCUUCGUCAUCUUCCUCUU